Molecule: small nuclear RNA, 107 nt
Organism: Bison bison bison
Lineage: Eukaryota; Metazoa; Chordata; Mammalia; Artiodactyla; Bovidae
Source: Ensembl
GUGCUCGCUUCGGCAGCACAUAUACUAAAAUUAGAACAAUACAGAGAAGAUUAGCAUGGCCCCUGCUUAAGAAUGACACACAAAUUCGUGAAGCAUUCCAUAUUUAA